RNAcentral lists this long non-coding RNA (930 nucleotides) under Gossypium barbadense (sea-island cotton). RNAcentral describes it as "long non-coding RNA (GBAR_LNC010130)". Lineage: Eukaryota; Viridiplantae; Streptophyta; Magnoliopsida; Malvales; Malvaceae. The record is from RNAcentral.
UGGAUAUUAAAUAGAUAUUUUAUUAUAGUUAUUAUUGUUAUAUUAUAUUUUAUAUGUAGCAGCCCCAAUUUGACCGGGCUAAAAUUGGAUAAAUAAAUAGUCCAUUACAGUCCAGUUUACAAAGGCCCAAAUACCAAAACCCAACACCCGGUUACAACCCAAUUAGCCUAAACCUUUGGCCCAAAAUUUACCCAACCUAAAUGAGGCCCAAUGCCUAAACAGAAUUUGGAAACCCUAGGUUUCCAGAUGCUUCGCGCCGUAAUCACCCCAGCAGUCACGCCCCUUCAACUUCUGUCGUUCCAUCUGCCCCAAUCGACGCCAUGAUUCCCGGCUUCGAAUCUGGCCGUAGUUGAAGCCGAAGGAAAGCAGAUCAGGGCCAGCACCGUCGCCAUCAGGGCCUGAUCAUCUGGAUUCGCUGAUUUCCAUGCGAGACACCUGCAAAAUAAAAAAAACACAACAAAAAAAUAAAGGCAAAAUAUGGAAAGAAAUCAAAGGAUUUCUUUCCCAAACUGUAAAUCACUUACAAAGGGUUAUAAAAACUCGUCUUUUUCUGAUUUGUAACACACAUUUUUGGAGGAGAAAAACUGAUAUAUAAUAAAACACAGUGAUUUAUCGAAGCACAGAGGUAAUAUUAAUUUUAUUUUUUUAUAUAUAACAUGCAAAUAUCAUUAAAAUAGAUGAGGAUAGAUUUUACCAUUAAAUUUCUUCAGGGUUUUGAGACGUUUCGAACUCUAACCGCCGUACGUGGUGGCGUUGACGAUGGCGCGUGGGCGCGUGGGCGCGUGGGCGCGUGGGCGCGUGGGCGCGUGGGCGCGUGGGCGCGUGGGCGCGUGGGCGCCCAAUGAUCGGAGCGUGGCCGGACAGAGGCCAUAGCCCAGAGGGCCUCUCCAUUUCUCCCUUUCAGAGAAUUCUCUGAGAUUUUUUUUUAAC